ACUCAGUGAGUACACUAUCAUGGCAGUAUUUCAACCAACAUAUCGAAUCACUAACCUGCACAUGUUUCUUUCAACUGAGAAACAUUGCUAAAGAGGCAUGGUUUUUGUGAACCUGAGAUGAUCAUUCAUGGUUUUGAAUAAUCCCGACUUGAUUACUGCAACUCCGUUUUCACCUGUCUCAGCAAGGCGUCCCUGGUCCCUGGUCCAGGACUCUGCUGCACGGCUGUUGACCAGGUCCAGCAGAAUACUGCACAUCAUCUUCUGUUUUAUCCAUGUUACAUUGGCUUCCGAUCAAGUUCAGGAAUCAAUUUAAAGUUAUUGUUAUUAAGUCCCUCAGGUCUUCUAACCAGGGACUACUGGUGGUCCCACACACUCGUUUGAAAACUAAAGGUGGCCGUUCCUUGGAAGCAGUGGUCUCAUACCUGUGGAACGCCCUUCCUAUUACCUUACACAGGCUCGGUUGCCGUUUUGAGAAAGCAGCUGAAGACACACCUGUUUCAACUUUUUUUGUCUCGUGUUUGUUUAGUCUUUAAAUCUUGAUUGAAAUUGUAUUUGUUUUUGCUUGUUUAUUUUCUGUUCUGAAUUUUUCUUUGGAUCAUCACUGCUCACAAUGCACUUACACUAAUGUAUACAUAGUCUAAACAGAAACAAUAUAGAGGCAAUUGUGCAAUGAGUGCAAUGAAGAGUGCAAAAGUAUGCAGGAGUGAAUUGUGAUAGUUAUUAUUGUAAAUGUGGAGCAUAGUGCAAAAUAUGCUGGAAUAAAAAAUAUGAUGUUAUUAUAUUACAGUUUAAAUUUGACCAGCCACUCAAUAGAUUGCCGUUGGGUGGUUUUGGCUGGUGAGUAAAGCAAAUCAACCAGCCACGUGCACAUUUUAGCAGCAUUUGGCUGGUUAAUGGUGCUAAUGUUGAACCCUGCAGGUAUGCACAUGUGUUGAAAGGAAGUGCAAGGACAGGUGGUGUCAGGCUGAUUGUUGUUGUGGGCUGGACUCAAAAUUCCAGGGCUGAUUUUUGACAGCAGUCCCGCUGGUGAACAAAAUUCAAGUAGCUGUGUCAGCAGCAGAUUUCACCCCGCCUGCACACUUACACAGGUAUUAACAACCAAACUAAUUGAACCUCUGCUCAGGUUACAACUACUUAACCCUCAUGUUGUCCUCGGGUCAAAUAUGACCCGUUUCCAGUGAAAAAAAAUAAAACAAUUUGUCACAAAAAAUGGGCCGUCAAAAUAAGCGCUGAAAAUGUCAACAUUAAAAAUAUCAAAAAAACUAAAAAAAAAAAAAA
Etheostoma spectabile (orangethroat darter) is the source of this 1278-nucleotide long non-coding RNA. RefSeq lists it as uncharacterized. Lineage: Eukaryota; Metazoa; Chordata; Actinopteri; Perciformes; Percidae. The transcript is spliced from 2 exons. The record is from RefSeq and is a predicted model, not a curated record.